CAAUAGCGUAUAUUAAAGUUGUUGCAGUUAAAAAGCUCGUAGUUGGAUUUCUGGUCGAAGCGACCGGUCGGGCGUUGAUUCGUCUGCACUGGAGUCGGUUUUGGCCAUCCUCUAGGAAAGUGCGUCUGGUAUUAAGUUAUCGGGCGUAUGAUCCUGGUCUUUUACUGUGAAAAAAUUAGAGUGUUUAAAGCAGGCCUUCGCCUUGAAUACAUUAGCAUGGAAUAAUAAGAUAGGACUUUGGUCUAUUUUGUUGGUUUGCAGACCGAAGUAAUGAUUAAUAGGGAUAGUUGGGGGUAUUUAUAUUCCGAUGUCAGAGGUGAAAUUCUUAGAUUUUCGGAAGAUAAACUUAUGCGAAAGCAUUUACCAAGGAUGUUUUCAUUAA
RNAcentral lists this ribosomal RNA (382 nucleotides) under uncultured eukaryote. RNAcentral describes it as "partial 18S ribosomal RNA". It matches the Rfam family "Eukaryotic small subunit ribosomal RNA", at positions 592 to 976 of the family's 1831-position model. The record is from RNAcentral.